CUCCAUUUCAUAUCCAGAGGUUGUCCUGUUUUACCAUUAGAUGUUGACACAGUGAAACACAUUUAAGUCAGCAACUAAGAUGAGCUGUUCAUUGCAGAUGCUUUUUAAUAACCAUGUGGGGAUAUUUCCAACAGAUCCUGUAGCAAAGAGAAUCUUUGUUUGUGCAAAAAAACAUAGAAUAUUUACAUUAGCACUAUGAAUAACGUUAUUUUUCAAAGUAAGAAGAGUACUGUGCCUUUCAGUAUGGACAGCAAUCUAAAAGGGACAGAGGAGGCUCUGUAGGUUGUUUGGGACAAGUUCCAAGUUCAUUAAUGAUGUUUCCCUGGUUUCUGCCAGCAGGGCUCUCUAUAAAAUGUAGAAAGCAGUCACUGCUUGUUGAGUACUUCUGAAUUGCUAAGAAUGGAAAACAAAUGGCAUGUGACUAAGCCAAAGUACAGUUGGUGCCAAGUAGAAACAGAAUUAUUUUAUUACUUCAGAACAACUAGCCCUUCAGACAAGGGUUGCUCCAUUUAUAAAAGUGUUAUUUAAGAACUAUUUAUAUAACAGAUAAUUGUAUUAUCCUCUAAGAAGAGGAUGUCCUGCAUUCACAAGGUAACACUCACUCUAUUGCUCAGGAUUUUUUUUUCUUGCAGAAGCUCCUGAAUCACAGCUCACUGCUACUUGGGAAGAAGACCCUAAGCCGGCAUUUGAAGAGAGAGGAGAGCAGGAGAUGAGCUCAACCUGCACCCGCCCGCCACCCACGAAGAGGAGUGAGAGAUGUUUACAGUAUAUUGGGCAUGUGCAGUGUCACUGACACCCCUAAAAAUAACCAAGAUGAUUAUCGUAUGAAACCCAACGGCGCAGAUCACAAUAUCUUCAAAUUGUAAAAAAUACAUCUGCCAUUGACUUCUACAUGACUACAUGGCAGGUAUAAUAAAUGUCGAAAAAAACUAUAUUCCUCUGAAAAUUUGAGGUUUUGCCCAAAAAACCUUUCGACCAGAAAAAAAAAAUCGAAGUUUAGUAAAUAACCCCCUAAAUGUGUUGGCUAAUGAAGCAGAAACUGGGACACAGACAGGACAGACAUUUGCAAACAAGCCUUUGCUUUUUUUGGCAGGAAGACUUGGCUUGAUAAAAGACCAAUGGCGGUCUGAAACGUUGCCGAUUGUCUGGG
This is a long non-coding RNA of Xenopus laevis (African clawed frog), 1150 nucleotides long. RefSeq lists it as uncharacterized. The record is from RefSeq and is a predicted model, not a curated record. The transcript is spliced from 4 exons. NCBI's taxonomy places the organism in Eukaryota, Metazoa, Chordata, Amphibia, Anura, Pipidae.